GCCAGGUGUGGUGGUGCACGCCUGUGAUCCCAACGGCUCAGGAGGCUGAGACAGGAGGAUCCUGUGUUCAAAGCCAGCCUCAGCAACUUAGCGAGGCACUAAGCAACUCAGUGAGACCCUGUCUCUA
This 127-nucleotide small RNA is filed under the name Marmota monax (woodchuck). The record is from RNAcentral. Lineage: Eukaryota; Metazoa; Chordata; Mammalia; Rodentia; Sciuridae.